Molecule: unclassified non-coding RNA, 238 nt
Filed under: air metagenome
Description: partial contains small subunit ribosomal RNA, internal transcribed spacer 1, and 5.8S ribosomal RNA
Rfam family: Eukaryotic small subunit ribosomal RNA (bases 1-46)
Source: RNAcentral
AAGUCGUAACAAGGUCUCCGUAGGUGAACCUGCGGAGGGAUCAUUACCAGAAGCCGCGUCGGCCGCGAGGCCGGCGCCUUCGCCCCACCCUUUGUGAAUCGAACGCGAUUUCCCCGGGGGACCCCGCCCCCCGCGCGAGGGCGGACCCCCGACGGACCCCCCCAACUCUUGAUGUACCUGCCGUCCGAGUCAUAUACGAAUACGAACAAAACUUUCAACAACGGAUCUCUUGGCUCUG